RNAcentral lists this ribosomal RNA (570 nucleotides) under Triticum aestivum (bread wheat). RNAcentral's name for it is "partial small subunit ribosomal RNA". The record is from RNAcentral. Lineage: Eukaryota; Viridiplantae; Streptophyta; Magnoliopsida; Poales; Poaceae.
AUGAACAAAGUGUUGGAGCAGAUUGGUUUCUUGGGAACUCAGCUGCAGUGCAACGGAAGAUUAUACUCUAGCAGCUUAGUGAAGGAUUGCCUAUCCAAGUCACUGAGCAAAUGUGGCAGCAGCAGCAACGGUGGCCAUCCUUUGGAGGCACAUGGUUUUAUCAGAAGCUCAUUUUACAAGGGACUGAACCCAUAUGAGGACCUACUCCAUUCAAUAUCUCAAAGGGAGAAGAUAAUACGCGCAUCUAAAGGACUAGUGGAGCCGGGCACUCUCUUCAAGGACAUGAUGGCAAUGCUCCGAGAUGUUGUAGCAUGUUAUGAUGGAACCAUAAGAAACUCGUGUGGAAAUUCAGUUGUUGAGUUUGACUCGACAAACUCAUCGAGUUCUGUGACACCAGGAGAUCCUGUUUGUAUAUUGGCAGUCACUGCAGUUGCAAAUGUUGCAUACAAGGCGGUGUUAGAUCCAAAUCAGAACAACAUGACCUCCUGGGACUCAAUGAAGAAAGUGCUACUUACAAGAGCUACCUCUCGAAAUGAAAAUGACCAAAAAAACAAUUUUGUAUCUGAGUAA